RNAcentral lists this ribosomal RNA (253 nucleotides) under uncultured bacterium. RNAcentral describes it as "partial 16S ribosomal RNA". It matches the Rfam family "Bacterial small subunit ribosomal RNA", at positions 524 to 776 of the family's 1533-position model. The record is from RNAcentral.
UACGAAGGGGGCUAGCGUUGCUCGGAAUCACUGGGCGUAAAGCGCACGUAGGCGGAUUGCUAAGUCAGGGGUGAAAUCCUGGAGCUCAACUCCAGAACUGCCUUUGAUACUGGCGGUCUCGAGUCCGGGAGAGGUGAGUGGAACUGCGAGCGUAGAGGUGAAAUUCGUAGAUAUUCGCAAGAACACCAGUGGCGAAGGCGGCUCACUGGCCCGGUACUGACGCUGAGGUGCGAAAGCGUGGGGAGCAAACAGG